RNAcentral lists this ribosomal RNA (290 nucleotides) under uncultured bacterium. RNAcentral's name for it is "partial 16S ribosomal RNA". It matches the Rfam family "Bacterial small subunit ribosomal RNA", at positions 773 to 1060 of the family's 1533-position model. The record is from RNAcentral.
GUGGAUUAGAUACCCUGGUAGUCCGCGCUGUAAACGAUGAGUGCUAGACGGUGGAGGUAUUGACCCCUUCGCUGCCGAAGCUAACGCGUUAAGCACUCCGCCUGGGGAGUACGGUCGCAAGACUAAAACUCAAAGGAAUUGACGGGGGCCCGCACAAGCGGUGGAGCAUGUGGUUUAAUUCGACGCAACGCGCAAAACCUUACCUGGGUUAAAUCCGCCGGAAGCUGGCUGAAAGGCUGGUGUGCCCUUCGGGGAAUCGGUGAGAAGGUGCUGCAUGGUUGUCGCCAGCU